CCUACGGGGGGCAGCAGUGGGGGAUAUUGCACAAUGGGGGAAACCCUGAUGCAGCGACGCCGCGUGUGGGAAGACGGUCCUCUGGAUUGUAAAGUUCUUUAAUUGGGGACGAAAAAAAUGACGGUACCCAAGGAAUAAGCCCCGGCUAACUACGUGCCAGCAGCCGCGGUAAUACGUAGGGGGCAAGCGUUGUUCGGAAUGACUGGGCGUAAAGGGUGUGUAGGCGGUUUAGCAAGUUAGAAGUGAAAUACCUAGAGCUUAACUCAGGUGCUGCUUCUAAAACUGCUAGACUUGAGUGCAGUAGA
RNAcentral lists this ribosomal RNA (305 nucleotides) under uncultured bacterium. Its description in RNAcentral is "partial 16S ribosomal RNA". It matches the Rfam family "Bacterial small subunit ribosomal RNA", at positions 338 to 655 of the family's 1533-position model. The record is from RNAcentral.